CUAAUUUUUUGUAUUUUUAGUAGAGAUGGGGUUUCACUAUGUUGGCCAGGCUGGUCGCAAACCCUGACCUCAGGCAAUCCACCUAUGUCUGCCUCCCAAAGUGCUAGGAUUACAGGUGUGAGCUACCAUGCCCGGCCUGAUGAACUUCUUUCCAUAAGAAUUUUAAAGUAACAAAAUAAGCGCAAAAGUGAAACAAUUGAAGGAUAUUUAAUGCAAAGUUAGCAUCCCACCCCCUUCACUCCCACACCCUAGAGUCACCAGUAUUUGCUGUUCUCCUAUACAUUUAAUCGUUGACACUUUAUAUACAGC
This 309-nucleotide long non-coding RNA is filed under the name Homo sapiens (human). RNAcentral's name for it is "HSALNT0243848". Lineage: Eukaryota; Metazoa; Chordata; Mammalia; Primates; Hominidae. The record is from RNAcentral.